CUGAGCUGGAAGUUGCUGAGGGCGGCUGGCCAGGGCUCAGACCCAGUGUUUUAGAUUGAAAUCAGCAUCCAGGUUGUUCCAAGCGCUUGGUCCCUCCCCCCAACCCCCGACCCCUGUUUUUUCUUAAUUGGAGUUCGGGAGAAGGGAGAAAGCAAGAAGUGAUAGAGAAUAAGACAGCACAAGGUGGAAGAUGCUUACUGCUUUGGUUGCCCAGAAGAACUAUGGCUGUCACUGAUAAUCAUGACUGACAGAUCAGCAAGGAAAGCCUGCCAGACCUUCCCUCGUUCCUAGCCAAGACUCAACACCGAUUAAACUUCUCAAUUUGUAAUUUACUAAACUUUCUAAUCACAAGUUUUGGCCUUAAAGAAACAAGCAAGCAAACAAACAAAGCCAACACUAAAAACAAGCAACCAAACCCAAAACAGAAACAUAAAUAUUGAUUUCUUGACUAAUGCAUAGCCACUGAUUUUAAAAACUCUGUGUAUAUUCCAGAAGUCACUGAUACGUGUAAUCCAUUUGAUCCACACAAGGAUAAAACAAAGACAAAUUAAGAGAAUUAGGACUAAAUUCCCUUUUGAGUCUGGUAAAGCCAUUCCUGUCUCACUAAGGAAUUAUCUGCCUCUAGUUUCUCUCGAAAAAUCCAUAGAAGUAAUCUACCGAAGUUUUGUGCCGAAGUUUUCCAUCUCAUCUGAAGAAGCAAAGAAGACCUAGAGAACCUAGAGACCUAGAGCACAAUGUUUCAGGAUCAGAAAGGAAGAAGCAACUGGAGAUGGCUAUAAAAGGAGAAGCAGAAGAGGCAAUCCCAGAACUCGCCAAAGAAAGAUGGUGGUGAACUAAGGGGUGGAACCCUUGGCCCCUGCAGUGGAAGCAUGGAGUCGUGAGCACUGGACCGCUGGGGAGGUCCCAACAGUUCUUACUUCUAAAUGAACCUUUGGAAAACAAACUAUUUAUAAUUUGGGUACUGACCUUAC
This is a long non-coding RNA of Balaenoptera ricei (Rice's whale), 971 nucleotides long. RefSeq lists it as uncharacterized. The record is from RefSeq and is a predicted model, not a curated record. The transcript is spliced from 4 exons. NCBI's taxonomy places the organism in Eukaryota, Metazoa, Chordata, Mammalia, Artiodactyla, Balaenopteridae.